Molecule: ribosomal RNA, 258 nt
Filed under: uncultured bacterium
Lineage: Bacteria
Description: partial 16S ribosomal RNA
Rfam family: Bacterial small subunit ribosomal RNA
Source: RNAcentral
UACGGGGGGGAGCAAGCGUUGUUCGGAUUUACUGGGCGUAAAGGGCGCGUAGGCGGCCACUGCAAGUCGGUUGUGAAAUCUCCGGGCUUAACCCGGAAAGGUCAACUCGAUACUGCAGGGCUAGAGUGCAGAAGGGGCAACUGGAAAUUCGUCGGUGUAGCGGUGAAAUGCGUAGAUAUCGAGAGGAACACCUGCGGCGAAGGCGGGUUGCUGGGCUGACACUGACGCUGAUGCGCGAAAGCUAGGGGAGCGAACGGG